This is a non-coding RNA of Microtus ochrogaster (prairie vole), 462 nucleotides long. The record is from the annotation of a RefSeq genome assembly. Lineage: Eukaryota; Metazoa; Chordata; Mammalia; Rodentia; Cricetidae.
AUGCUGUCACACACCCAGGUUCUCAUGUCUCUGAUCCUCUGGGUGUCUGGUGCCUGUGCAGAUAUCACAAUGACCCAGUCUCAAUCCUCCUUGGCUGUGUCAGUGGGAGAGAAAAUCACCAUCACCUGCAAGUCUAGUCAGAGUCUUUUUAGUAGUAGCAUCAAGAACUGUUUGUACUGGUACCAGCAAAAACAAGGGAAGUCACCUAAACUGCUAAUCUACUGGGCAUCAACCCGGGAGACUGGGGUUCCUGAUCGCUUCAUAGGUAGUGGAUCUGGGACAGAUUUCACUCUCACCAUCAACAGUGUUCAGGCUGAAGACCUGGCAGAUUAUUACUGUCAGCAGGGUUACCGAUAUCCUUCCACAGUGCUUCAGUCUCCAACAAAAACCUCCUCUGAGAUUCUCACCACCUGUCUACAUCAUGCACAGCCCUGGCCCUAUACACUUCCCCCUUCUGCCUGA